Molecule: ribosomal RNA, 497 nt
Filed under: uncultured bacterium
Lineage: Bacteria
Description: partial 16S ribosomal RNA
Rfam family: Bacterial small subunit ribosomal RNA
Source: RNAcentral
GACGAACGCUGGCGGCGUGCCUAAUACAUGCAAGUUGAGCGCUGAAGGUUGGUACUUGUACCGACUGGAUGAGCAGCGAACGGGUGAGUAACGCGUGGGGAAUCUGCCUUUGAGCGGGGGACAACAUUUGGAAACGAAUGCUAAUACCGCAUAAAAACUUUAAACACAAGUUUUAAGUUUGAAAGAUGCAAUUGCAUCACUCAAAGAUGAUCCCGCGUUGUAUUAGCUAGUUGGUGAGGUAAAGGCUCACCAAGGCGAUGAUACAUAGCCGACCUGAGAGGGUGAUCGGCAACAUUGGGACUGAGACACGGCCCAAACUCCUACGGGAGGCAGCAGUAGGGAAUCUUCGGCAAUGGACGAAAGUCUGACCGAGCAACGCCGCGUGAGGGAAGAAGGGUUUCGGAUCGUAAAACUCUGUUGGUAGAGAAGAACGUUGGUGAGAGUGGAAAGCUCAUCAAGUGACGGUAACUACCCAGAAAGGGACGGCUAACUACGUG